Ornithodoros turicata is the source of this 2197-nucleotide long non-coding RNA. RefSeq lists it as uncharacterized. Lineage: Eukaryota; Metazoa; Arthropoda; Arachnida; Ixodida; Argasidae. The transcript is spliced from 2 exons. The record is from RefSeq and is a predicted model, not a curated record.
GAGAGAAAGGCUAUACUACCAUCACUGGUGUUUUAGAAGGCAUGAAGGAAGCACACACUGACGAGAUAUAGUGUUUAUGGCAGGCCAAAGUCAGAUGUGUGCAAUUAGCUUCGUUUCGUUAUUUUUCUUUUUUCCAAGGGGUAAACAGGAGUCGGUCCCUUGGCGGAAAACCCCGCCAGGGGACCGACGCACGUUGGAGUCGGUGGGCGGCAAGCCAAGCCAAGUCAAGGCCGUCGGCGCGGCGUUCGUUUGUUUUCCGUUUUGGUUCGUUUGGUAUGGUGAGGCCGCGUCCGUUACAGUGAGAUAGAGCUUGUUUUUCAGCAAAGAUGACAGACGCUACGUGCCUAGUUGUGGUGCUUCAUGCGGACAUUAGACAAAAGUGCCUGCUUGAAGAGGACACUCCAACUGCUUUGAGGAGUGCUAUCUCGGCUUCGAGAAUGUUGGCGUCAUACGUGAACGCCACUGACAGGAAACAGGUAUGUUGCUUCUUGUGCCAUACGCUUGAAGUAGAACACAGAACUACACAUGCAGAGCGUUGUGAUGACUUAGUAACAACAUUGCUGUCACCUCUAGGUUCGGGAUAGCGACUUCAGUGAGUGUUGAAUUCGCGGAGGGCGAUGAGAUAAUGCAUACGGCGACAGUACCCGUCUUGCAACCUCACCGCCAGGAACGCUCGAAGGGUUCAGUACGUAUGAGUCGACUGUUAUCCUAUCUCUGCAAUUUAAGCUAUAUUGUGAUCAUAUAAUAGUAGUGUUGCUCAGACUCUCAUGCGUCCCUCGGAGCCCGCUACCAUGUGUGUAAAUAGCUUGUUUGGAAACUUAAAAUUGCGCGUCGUUGUCGUCGCCAAUGUCAUAUUCCUUUUCUCUCGCCCCGGCAUUGUUCGACAUUGUGCAGAAAAGGAAUGUCAGGCUCCCUUCUGGUAAUUCAUGCUAGUAGUUCAUGGUGAACAGUAGGAUUCAAGGGGAAGAUGUCGAGCACUGAAGUGUUGCCUAUCAAGCAAAAGCUAUUGUUUUCUGUUGGAAAAUAAGUGUGUAUUGGGUACAUAUCUGCUGUGCUGUGUGCACUUGGUGUUUUCUCACUGAAAACCGUAAAAAAUCAAAUUGGGAGUAUAUUUACAUGUAAAGUUACUGAAAAUAGUAAGUUGUGUUCCCUGUUGGGGCUUUUACAGACCUCCUUGCUGUCCACGCCCUGCGAAUACUGGGUUCGUGUGUGAAGGGUUCCGAAGCAAUAAAGAACAUGUUUGUGCAUUAUGAUACACCUGUGCCGGUGACACUGUGCAUCAUGUUCACUGGGAGCAGCAUUCAAGAAGCGGAGCAUAUGGACCUCUAUGUCGGCGAGUAGCGCCUUCUCAGAACCAUCGACCUUGACGAGGGCUUGGCUGCUAUUCUUGCAGCUAUUGGUUAUUUCAUAUUGUCUACAGUUCAAAGCCGCACCGUACAUCUUGAAGCCUGGAAGAGCGGUGCCUGAAAGUGAGUGACUCUCGUGCAAGAAGCCCCGUGGAUCAAUUUUUUCAACAGUUAUGGACAAGAGCUUGUGAAUGCUUUGAACAUCUAAAACAUUUGCUACUUUAACUGACUUGUAGUGAGCCCUCCAUUCCCCCCCCCCCUGCCCACCUCACAAACAGGCAGCCAUUUCGUCAAGGAAUUGGAAAUUCUUCGGAAGCACGGGUGUGUUCUUUCUUGUUCUUUGGCACUGAACUCUCAUAAGCAUGGGGGAUUACCUUUCUUCUGGCAAUGUAGCCGUCCAUUUGUCAACAUACCUGGCACAGCGCAUUACAUUUAGGGAAAUUGUUUUGGGUAUUCUGUGCUUCCAUUUCUAGUCUUUAGUAUGUGCUCUUGUUAAGAGAUAGUCUUCUAUCCGUUUUCCUUUUUCUUUUUUUGCUUGCCAGAAAAGCUGUUUGCUGGCUGUUUUCAUUACCCUUUCGCAUCAACGUGCUAUAUUUGCACUAGCUUCUUAUUUGGUGUACUGGAUCUGUAGUGGUGCCUUAUGUGGAUUUAAACAUUUAAUAUGCCUUUUCAUCUUAUUUUGUGUCUCAUUGCUGCUGUUUCAAUUAGUUAUGUCAUCAUGGACUCAGUUCUGCUUUGCCUUCCUUCCACAUACUGUGCAUAUUGUUCCACUCUGGGCAACGUUAUAAGGAAUUUAGUUUCACAUGUGUACAUGCACUUGUACUUCGCCAAUAAACAUAACUUUGUCGUCA